This is a transfer RNA of Ovis aries (sheep), 73 nucleotides long. It matches the Rfam family "tRNA". From Rfam's summary of the family: Transfer RNA (tRNA) molecules are approximately 80 nucleotides in length. Their secondary structure includes four short double-helical elements and three loops (D, anti-codon, and T loops). NCBI's taxonomy places the organism in Eukaryota, Metazoa, Chordata, Mammalia, Artiodactyla, Bovidae. The record is from Rfam.
UCCCUGGUGGUCCAGCAGUUAGGACUCCACACUCCUAAUGUAGGAGGCCCGGGUUCGAUCCCUGGUCAGGGAA